This 550-nucleotide ribosomal RNA is filed under the name uncultured Funneliformis. RNAcentral's name for it is "SSU rRNA". It matches the Rfam family "Eukaryotic small subunit ribosomal RNA", at positions 548 to 1098 of the family's 1831-position model. The record is from RNAcentral. Lineage: Eukaryota; Fungi; Glomeromycota; Glomeromycetes; Glomerales; Glomeraceae.
UUGGAGGGCAAGUCUGGUGCCAGCAGCCGCGGUAAUUCCAGCUCCAAUAGCGUAUAUUAAAGUUGUUGCAGUUAAAAAGCUCGUAGUUGAAUUUCGGGAUCAAUAUUUCGGUCAUGCCGUUGGUAUGCACUGUUAUCAUUGAUUUCUCACCUUCUAAAGAACCGUAAUGCCAUUAAUUUGGUGUUACGGGGAAUUAGGACGUUUACCUUGAAAAAAUUAGAGUGUUUAAAGCAGGCUCACGCUUGAAUACAUUAGCAUGGAAUAAUGAAAUAGGACAUCCGAUUCUAUUUUGUUGGUUUCUAGGAUCGAUGUAAUGAUUAAUAGGGAUAGUUGGGGGCAUUAGUAUUCAAUUGUCAGAGGUGAAAUUCUUGGAUUUAUUGAAGACUAACUACUGCGAAAGCAUUUGCCAAGGAUGUUUUCAUUAAUCAAGAACGAAAGUUAGGGGAUCGAAGACGAUCAGAUACCGUUGUAGUCUUAACCAUAAACUAUGCCGACUAGGGAUCGGAUGAUGUUAAUUUUUUAAUGACUCAUUCGGCGCCUUACGGGAAAC